RNAcentral lists this ribosomal RNA (397 nucleotides) under uncultured bacterium. RNAcentral describes it as "partial 16S ribosomal RNA". It matches the Rfam family "Bacterial small subunit ribosomal RNA", at positions 523 to 918 of the family's 1533-position model. The record is from RNAcentral.
AUACGUAGGUGACAAGCGUUAUCCGGAUUUACUGGGCGUAAAGGGCGUGUAGGCGGUCUUGCAAGUCAGAAGUGAAAUUCCUGAGCUCAACUCGGGCGCUGCUUCUGAAACUGCAGGACUUGAGUGCUGGAGGGGAUAGCGGAAUUCCUAGUGGAGCGGUAAAAUGCGCAGAUAUUAGGAAGAACACCGGGGGCGAAGGCGGCUAUCGGGACACGAACGGACGUCGAGGGGCGAAGGCGUGGGGGACAAACAGGAUUGGAUCCCCUGGUCGUCGAGGCCGUAAACGAUGAAUACUAGGUGUAGGGGGUAUCGACUCCCUCUGUGCCGCAGUUAACACAAUAAGUAUUCCGCCUGGGGAGUACGGCCGCAAGGUUGAAACUCAAAGGAAUUGACGGGG